UACGGAGGGUGCAAGCGUUAUCCGGAUUCACUGGGUUUAAAGGGCGCGUAGGCGGGCACGCAAGUCAGGGGUGAAAUCCUCCGGCUCAACCGGAGAACAGCUUUUGAUACUGCGUGCCUCGAGGGGGGUAGGGGCAUGUGGAACUUCCGGUGGAGCGGUGAAAUGCGUAGAUAUCGGAAGGAACGCCGGUGGCGAAAGCGACGUGCUGGACCCCUUCUGACGCUGAGGCGCGAAAGCCAGGGGAGCAAACGGG
This 253-nucleotide ribosomal RNA is filed under the name uncultured bacterium. RNAcentral's name for it is "partial 16S ribosomal RNA". It matches the Rfam family "Bacterial small subunit ribosomal RNA", at positions 524 to 776 of the family's 1533-position model. The record is from RNAcentral.